UGGGGAAUAUUGGACAAUGGGCGCAAGCCUGAUCCAGCCAUGCCGCGUGUGUGAAGAAGGCCUUUUGGUUGUAAAGCACUUUAAGCGAGGAGGAGGCUACUUGGAUUAAUACUCUAGGAUAGUGGACGUUACUCGCAGAAUAAGCACCGGCUAACUCUGUGCCAGCAGCCGCGGUAAUACAGAGGGUGCGAGCGUUAAUCGGAUUUACUGGGCGUAAAGCGUGCGUAGGCGGCUUCUUAAGUCGGAUGUGAAAUCCCUGAGCUUAACUUAGGAAUUGCAUUCGAUUCUGGGAAGCUAGAGUAUGGGAGAGGAUGGUAGAAUUCCAGGUGUAGCGGUGAAAUGCGUAGAGAUCUGGAGGAAUACCGAUGGCGAAGGCAGCCAUCUGGCCUAAUACUGACGCUGAGGUACGAAAGCAUGGGGAGCAAACAGG
This 430-nucleotide ribosomal RNA is filed under the name bacterium. Its description in RNAcentral is "partial 16S ribosomal RNA". It matches the Rfam family "Bacterial small subunit ribosomal RNA", at positions 355 to 776 of the family's 1533-position model. The record is from RNAcentral. RNAcentral also lists the same sequence under 1 other name.